UCAGCAAGCCGCGGUNUACGUAGGGUGCGAGCGUUAAUCGGAAUUACUGGGCGUAAAGCGUGCGCAGGCGGCUUUGCNAGACAGAUGUGAAAUCCCCGGGCUCAACCUGGGAACUGCAUUUGUGACUGCAAGGCUAGAGUACGGCAGAGGGGGAUGGAAUUCCGCGUGUAGCAGUGAAAUGCGUAGAUAUGCGGAGGAACACCGAUGGCGAAGGCAAUCCCCUGGGCCUGUACUGACGCUCAUGCACGAAAGCGUGGGGAGCAAACAGGAUUAGAUACCCUGGUAGUCCACGCCCUAAACGAUGUCAACUGGUUGUUGGACGGCUUGCUGUUCAGUAACGAAGCUAACGCGUGAAGUUGACCGCCUGGGGA
Molecule: ribosomal RNA, 371 nt
Filed under: uncultured Aquabacterium sp.
Lineage: Bacteria; Pseudomonadati; Pseudomonadota; Betaproteobacteria; Burkholderiales; Sphaerotilaceae
Description: bacterial SSU rRNA
Rfam family: Bacterial small subunit ribosomal RNA
Source: RNAcentral